CCUACGGGUGGCUGCAGUGGGGAAUAUUGGACAAUGGGGGCAACCCUGAUCCAGCCAUGCCGCGUGUGUGAAGAAGGCCCUCGGGUUGUAAAGCACUUUCAGUGAGGAAGAACGCCUGGUGGUUAAUACCCAUCAGGAAAGACAUCACUCACAGAAGAAGCACCGGCUAACUCCGUGCCAGCAGCCGCGGUAAUACGGAGGGUGCGAGCGUUAAUCGGAAUUACUGGGCGUAAAGCGCGCGUAGGUGGCUUGAUAAGCCGGUUGUGAAAGCCCCGGGCUCAACCUGGGAACGGCAUCCGGAACUGUCAAGCUAGAGUGCAGGAGAGGAAGGUAGAAUUCCCGGUGUAGCGGUGAAAUGCGUAGAGAUCGGGAGGAAUACCAGUGGCGAAGACGGCCUUCUGGACUGACACUGACACUGAGGUGCGAAAGCGUGGGUAGCAAACAGGAUUAGAUACCCUUGUAGUC
This 465-nucleotide ribosomal RNA is filed under the name Vreelandella stevensii. Its description in RNAcentral is "partial 16S ribosomal RNA". It matches the Rfam family "Bacterial small subunit ribosomal RNA", at positions 338 to 795 of the family's 1533-position model. The record is from RNAcentral. Lineage: Bacteria; Pseudomonadati; Pseudomonadota; Gammaproteobacteria; Oceanospirillales; Halomonadaceae.